This is a ribosomal RNA of Cercocebus atys (sooty mangabey), 115 nucleotides long. The record is from Ensembl. NCBI's taxonomy places the organism in Eukaryota, Metazoa, Chordata, Mammalia, Primates, Cercopithecidae.
CCAGGCACCCCCUGUUGGCGCCUAGGGCCAUAUCACACUCAUGCCAGAAGCUAAACAGGGUCGGGACUGGCCAGUACUUGGAUGGAAGACUGUUUAUGAAUUUUGGCUUCCUGCU